Molecule: long non-coding RNA, 500 nt
Filed under: Physcomitrium patens
Lineage: Eukaryota; Viridiplantae; Streptophyta; Bryopsida; Funariales; Funariaceae
Description: long non-coding RNA (PPAT_LNC014141)
Source: RNAcentral
UCCCAAAGUUCAACAGCUCAUUACUUACGAUCUAACCGUCUAAACAACUCCAAAUUUAACAUAGAGUACUGAUAUAUCUUUAGCAACUACCACACCAAAAUUCAACUGUAAAUUCGUCUUGGAUCUUGUGAUAUCUUGAAAACCCUAACUGUAGCUUCAAACCCUAGCUUUUUUACACCCGUGUACAACUUCCUUCAUAUCUCACAAAGUAAUUAUUCAAAUACUAUGAAACUUUGAUCUAAAGCUUUUUAACCUAAUUACACACACUUGUGGAAAUUUUGAGCCAAAAAUUCGUCCAGAAACUCAAGAUAUGGCUUCACCCAUAACUAGCAACAAAACGAUAUACUUACUGCCUUCAAAUUACAAGUGCUGUCUUCAACGCCUCAUAACUCCUUUACCCAAUCUUAGAAUUCACUAUACAGUAAGUAGAAUGUGUAGCCGAAAAAAUGCUCCCUCCAAAUCCAGUCGCCGAUCUUCCGUUGCUCUCCGUAUUCGUAUGU